UUAUUCUGAUUUUCGCCUUCUCUUCGUUCUUUGUCGUUUCGUUUAUUCCUAGAUCCACCAGAAACUUUCUUUGAGUUUUCUUUUGUUUGAUUUUCAGAAAUUCUUUUUUAGGUGGUUUUAAUUUUCUUUUUUCUGCCUCGAAAACAAAUCUAUUUCGAUUAAAUUUUUUCUUCAGAUUGGUUUUUCAAAACGGUUUCAAAAUUUACUAGAUCUAGAUUCCUGUAUCUUUCUUUUCUAUUUAGAUUAAAUUUUUUCUUCACGAUUGAAUUUUUUUUCUUCGGAUUGGUUUUUCAAAGCGGUUUCAAAAUUUACUGGAUCAGAUUCCUGUAUUCUUUUUUUCUAUUUAGAUUAAAUUUUUUCUUCACGAUUGAAUUUUUUUUCUUCGGAUUGGUUUUUCAAAACGGUUUCAAAAUUUACUAGAUCUAGAUUCCUGUAUUUUUUUUCUUUUGAAGUUGCAGGCAAUUAUGUUAGCAACGGGGAGGAUGAUUGUUGAUGGAAUUUUUUUGGAUCUGGUUUCACCAAGGUUGGUAGGUGCAAGAGCAGAAGAAAGAAAUCAAUCGAUACAUGAUUUUUAGAUCUUUGAUGUACAGAAAUCAUUGGUAGCGGAAGGUAUAAUUGAUGGUGAACAGUCAAUUUUGUGAGAUUUUGUGAGGAUAGAGGUAUAUAUAUAUAUAUAUGAGAUAGAUGUAAAAGAGAUCGAUACAAAAAGCUCUAUGUAUGAGUUUUGCGUAUCGGAUCUUCUUUGUCAUCUGACCUUUGCCAUGACGGGUGCGCUUGCUUGGCAGGUCAAAAGAAUACAUAAUAAAAAAAAGAGUUUUGGUGUUGAACAGGGGAGUUCGCACGGGGUGUUUUUUGCCUGGGUUCUCUCCUGUUCUCUGUGUGUUGUUGUCCUGUCCAUCUUUAUGUUCUUGAUUCCAUAUCAAACUCCACUGUAAAUCUGAACAUCGAAAUUCGAAUCCUCUGAUUCGAGGAUAGAUCAUCAAAAUCAGCGAAGGCUCUGGCGUCCCAAUCAAGGAAUUUUGCAGCUUCCGACCAUCCAACUCUGCAAGGUAUAAUUAUGAAAAUUAUCUUUUUAACUUAAAUUAACUUAAAUUAUCUGUUUUUUAUAUUAAAUCUCAGCUCGACUUGAGACUGAUUAAGCAGUCCCCCAAAAUUUUAUACAUCGCCGCAAUCAAAGUUUAAUUUCAAUUUUUAAGCAUGCAAUUUCUUUCCUUAGUUUUAGAUUUAUUUGAAUGUCAGGAAAAUUAUGGAUGAAUAAUUGUUCUCAAGGUCUAUAAUACACUAUUUGGAUUAUUUUUUCAGAUUUAAAUUGUUUAUUCGAAUCCAUCUAAUUCUAUGACUAUAAUUUUGAAGAUACAUCGAGAGCAAUUUUGUAUAUUGAGUUAAUUUUGUAUAUAUAAUUUUCUUGUCAGUUCCAUAAGUUUGUAUAUAAUUUUCAUGUCAGUUCUAUCCAUAAGAGAGGUAGAGCAAUUUGCAGUUUUGUAUAUCGAGGGAUUUUGUAUUUUUUGGUAAGGACAUCAAAUCAAUCGGUAGUUAGAUUGAAGGUAUAAGAGCAGGCGAAGGAAAGCGUUUUGGGGUGCUUGUGGUAGUACUCUUUACCAACUCUCUAAUUUACCAUUUACCAUACCAUCUGUCUUGUUAUACAAGUAUUGUCAGCUCUGUAAUUUGCACAUCUGAAGUUUUUGUUAUACAGAAGUUCUUUGAUAUUUGAUGUUCAGAAUUAUUCGUAUGAAUCUUUAGAUGCCAACAUGUAACCAACUACUAAUGGGUCCAUGGAUUUGUUGUGGUUUAAAAUUUGGUAGUCCACCAUCCACAUAUUACAUGCAUAUAUACCUAAAAAAAAAAAAACCAAGACAUAUUACACACACAUACAUACUCUUUGAAAAACUAAAACUAAAUGAAUUAUCCUCAUCACUUCACUUCUGGUUCUGGUCCUUGGUUGUUAUACUUCUGUAUUUAUGGACUCAUAAGCUCAAAAGGCCAGAGCACCCAAACCCCGAUUAAUGGUUUGUGGAGGUUGAUGGUUCGAAUCCAUCUGGGUCCUACUUCGAAUUGAUGUGUCUUUUGUUGUGGCUAAUAUGCUUCAAAUUGCUGCUUAUUGUGUGUUGCUGUGACUAAUAUUGCUUUAUUUUGGCUAGGCUAAUAUUGCUUUAUUUUGGCUAGGCUAAUAUUGCUUUAUUAGGCUAAUAUUGCUUCAAUUGCUGCUUAUCGUGAGUUGCUGUAUGAAACUGGCAGUUGAAGUUGCUGUAGUUCAAGUCCAAAAGAAGUAUGUUACUAAAGAUCAUGCUGUGAGUCUGUGACUAAUACUUGCUUUAUUGACCUUUUGAACCAGUUUCAGUUUGUGAAACUGGCAGUUGAAGUUGAGUUGAAGUUGCCGUAGUUGAAGUUUGAAAGAAGCAUGUUACCGAAGUUCAUGCGCGCUGGCAGCCUUUCGUAGUGCGUCUUCCAGAAGUAUCUCUUUGAGAUUGAUUGUUAUAUGUGCAAUUACUUUCUUCAAGACUAGUUCUCCUGAUUCACUAACCCCAUACAGUUCUCCUGGCUUGCCAACCCCACAGUGGGCAGAAAGCAGGAUCCUUCUACAGUAUUGCUGGUCAAAGAAAAGAAGCCACUAUAUUGCUUAUUAUAAAUGCGCAAACAGUUUUAAGGGGGAUUAGUACUGGACUGGGAUAAGAAAGCUAUGGGGGGCUUAUUGGUGCCCACCGCCUACCUAGCUACUCUGCUGGCAUAGUAAAGCUAUGAUUCAACUUUUAUUGGCUCACUUAGCACAACAUCACGUCAUCAUUUCUGAUUUUGAGGGGAAAGGCUACUGCAACUUCACAAUCCAACUUCACAAUCUCAGGAAGCUAUGGACCAAGACACUAAUGACAUCACUUUAAGCCAUGACACACUCAAGGGUUUCAAAAAUCCCCAUCUAUUUAAUCCGGCCUUGCUAGCAAAGUGACAUGGAGAUUACUCACAGAGCCUGAUGCCCCAGGGGUUCAAGUACUUAGAGCUCGCUAUUUCGCCAACAAGGAUUUACUCACAGAUGUGCUACCAGCUACUGCAACCUUCAUAUGGAGAAGUAUUUUACAGGGACUUGAGAUAGUUAAACAGCAUUAUAUUUGGGCUGUUGGUGAUGGUCACCAAAUACAACCAUGGAAACACCACUGGCUAACAAUCUCUCCUCAGCCUCAACUGGAUCAGCCUCAGUAUUCGACUCUAUCUCAUUUUACAACAACAAUCAGCAGUGGGACUUAUGACAGCUUCAACUUUAUUUUACCCCAGCAACCCUCAAUGAAAUACAGAAAAUCCCAUUAUUUCCUCAAGCCAUAGACAACUUGCAGCGGGCUUUCACAAGAACAGGCAAGUUCACUGUGGGUUCUACUUAUAAUCAGCUAAUUAUCCAACACCAGCAAGGUAUGAAUUAUACAACAACUUUCUCUGCACAUUACUGGUUAAAAUUAUGGCAUAUGAAAAUCCCAAGCAAACUUCAGUUCUUUAUGAGGAAACUAUCACACAAUAUUUUACCUGUUGCAUCCGUGAUAUAUAAAUACUCUCCUCAAAAGUGUCAGAUGUGCGCAAUGUGUGGGAAUGAGGUUGAAACUACAAUUCAUCUGCUGUUAAAAUGUUCAUUCGCAAGAGAUGUUUGGUUUGCCACUUCAGAGUAUUUAUGGCAUCAUCUUAUUCCAGUUAACAACCUACAAGAGUGGUUUUCAUCGUGGACCCAACAACAGAAUCCAGUCUCAUUUCAGGCAGAUCAUUUAUCCAAUCUGGUGGUGGUUACUAUGUGGUUUGUAUGGAAAGCUCGUUGCUCCUUAGUGUUCCAGGCCAUUAAACAAUAAUCCAAUCAGCACUAUUCAUAUAGAUCAUCAUGCAUCAGUAGGCAGUACUAGGCCAAAACAUCUGCAUAUGCACCGGACUCCUACUCCACAUGGAUGGGUCUCUAUCAAUGUUGAUGCUUCUAUGAUUACUACUAAUAGCAACUCUUCUGAUACGGGUCUGGUUAUACGUAAUGAUGCAGGAGUUCUCUUAGCUGCAAAAACCAUCUCAACAGAGGUGUGUGACAUUGAUCAAGCAGAAGCACUUGCAGUCUUGGGAAGUCUAGAAUGGUCUCAACAAAUGCAUUGUAAAAAACUAAUUGUACAGAAAGACAAUAAAUGAGUGGCGGAAGCUAUUUUCUAAACUUGAAUUGUGCUGCAGAAGAGAAGAUUUUCAACUCAUCAAGUACAUAAGAGAGAUGCUUUCUUUGUUUGAUUAUUGCUCUGUAAAUUAUAUCAACAGAACCUGUAACAUCCUGCAGAUGUUUUAGCUAAAUUUGCUCGUAAAAAUCUAUGUAAUACAGUGUAAUUAAGAAGAUUACCCAUCAAAAAUCUAUGUAAUCAAAA
Molecule: long non-coding RNA, 4364 nt
Organism: Papaver somniferum (opium poppy)
Lineage: Eukaryota; Viridiplantae; Streptophyta; Magnoliopsida; Ranunculales; Papaveraceae
Exons: 2
Source: RefSeq, a predicted model, not a curated record